UGUCGAUGCAGUUGUUCCUACUGUUGUUGGUUCUGUUCUUGUUGGAGCCUGUGUAGUUGAUUCUGUGGUAGGGGUUAGUUCUGUUGUUGCUGCUGUAGUUAAUGUUGUACUUGGAGCUGUAGUUGUUGCUUCCUCAGUUGGAGCUGGAGUAGUUGUAGAUGCAGUUGUUGGUACUGUUGUUGGUUCUGUGCUUGUUGUAGCCUGUGAAGUUGAUUCUGUGGUAGUGGUUAGUUCUGUUGUUGCUGCUGUAGAUGAUGUUGUACUUGGAGCUGUAGUUGUUUCCCCUCUAGUUGUUGCUUCCUCAGUUGGAGUAGUUGGACCUGGAGUAGUUGUAGAUGCGGUUGUUCCUUCUGUUGUUGGUUCUCCACUUGUUGUAACCUGUGUAGUUGAUAGUUCUGUAGUUGUUAUUGUUGUCAGUACAGUUGUACUUGUAGUUUCCUCUGAAGUACUUGGUUCCUGAGUUGUAGUGGUUGGGGCUACAGUUGUUGUAGAUGCUGUUGUUGGUACUGUUGUUGGUUCUGUGCUUGUUGUAGCCUGUGUAGUUGAUUCUGUGGUAGUGGUUAGUUCUGUUGUUGCUGCUGUAGUUAAUGUUGUACUUGGAGCUGUAGUUGUUUCCUCUGUAGUUGUUGCUUCCUCAGUUGGAGUAGUUGGAGCUGGAGUAGUUGUAGAUGCAGUUGUUUCUUCUGUUUUGUUUGCUUCCUCAGUUGGAGUAGUUGGAGCUGGAGUAGUUGUAGAUGCAGUUGUUCCUACUGUUGUUGGUUCUGUGCUUGUUGUAGCUGUG
Ictalurus punctatus (channel catfish) is the source of this 781-nucleotide long non-coding RNA. NCBI's taxonomy places the organism in Eukaryota, Metazoa, Chordata, Actinopteri, Siluriformes, Ictaluridae. The record is from Ensembl.